Long non-coding RNA from Jaculus jaculus (lesser Egyptian jerboa), 583 nucleotides. RefSeq lists it as uncharacterized. The record is from RefSeq and is a predicted model, not a curated record. NCBI's taxonomy places the organism in Eukaryota, Metazoa, Chordata, Mammalia, Rodentia, Dipodidae. The transcript has 3 exons.
CCAUAAUUUUGGUGAUUCACAUUAAAUGGCUUUUACUGAUUUUCUAGAUUCCAGUUAAAAGAUUUAUCUGAAAUGGCAAACUGUAGGAGGAAGCGUGACAUCUAAGUGCCCAUAUCUUCACUGGAGUGUGUCAGGCUGUGGAGCAACUGUGACCAUCUGUGUUUGAGAGGAGUGGGCUCUGUACAGAGAGGACUUCUGCAUGGGAGCCACAUCUGCCUGACUGGUGGUGGGGGAUCUGUCUCAGGAGGAGGGGCUUCCAGUACGUGUGCCUGCUUGUGCCCAAGGGACAUGUGGAGGACACCUACUAACACCACUCCAAUACCUCCGUGCGGCCCAUGAAAGCAUGUGCUUCUCAUGUCGGGAGCUAAUCCGGUAGAGACCGAAGAGGGAGUGUGUCGAAUGCCCUGCCUGCCCACGGUCUUCUGGAAACCAGGUGAACUAUUAAGGUAAAUAUGGAAGAACUUCAAUAUUGUCUGCAGCUGUGAGUGAAAAGAAACGUCCGGUUUUCUGUUAUUUACCUCAGGCAUGUUUGGUCAUCAUGAUAGAGACUUGACACACACACACUCUCCCUUCCCUUGCAUUU